GGGUUGUGAGGUUAAGCGACUAAGCGUACACGGUGGAUGCCCUGGCAGUCAGAGGCGAUGAAGGACGUGCUAAUCUGCGAUAAGCGUCGGUAAGGUGAUAUGAACCGUUAUAACCGGCGAUUUCCGAAUGGGGAAACCCAGUGUGUUUCGACACACUAUCAUUAACUGAAUCCAUAGGUUAAUGAGGCGAACCGGGGGAACUGAAACAUCUAAGUACCCCGAGGAAAAGAAAUCAACCGAGAUUCCCCCAGUAGCGGCGAGCGAACGGGGAGCAGCCCAGAGCCUGAAUCAGUGUGUGUGUUAGUGGAAGCGUCUGGAAAGGCGCGCGAUACAGGGUGACAGCCCCGUACACAAAAAUGCACAUACUGUGAGCUCGAUGAGUAGGGCGGGACACGUGGUAUCCUGUCUGAAUAUGGGGGGACCAUCCUCCAAGGCUAAAUACUCCUGACUGACCGAUAGUGAACCAGUACCGUGAGGGAAAGGCGAAAAGAACCCCGGCGAGGGGAGUGAAAAAGAACCUGAAACCGUGUACGUACAAGCAGUGGGAGCACGCUUAGGCGUGUGACUGCGUACCUUUUGUAUAAUGGGUCAGCGACUUAUAUUCUGUAGCAAGGUUAACCGAAUAGGGGAGCCGAAGGGAAACCGAGUCUUAACUGGGCGUUAAGUUGCAGGGUAUAGACCCGAAACCCGGUGAUCUAGCCAUGGGCAGGUUGAAGGUUGGGUAACACUAACUGGAGGACCGAACCGACUAAUGUUGAAAAAUUAGCGGAUGACUUGUGGCUGGGGGUGAAAGGCCAAUCAAACCGGGAGAUAGCUGGUUCUCCCCGAAAGCUAUUUAGGUAGCGCCUCGUGAAUUCAUCUCCGGGGGUAGAGCACUGUUUCGGCAAGGGGGUCAUCCCGACUUACCAACCCGAUGCAAACUGCGAAUACCGGAGAAUGUUAUCACGGGAGACACACGGCGGGUGCUAACGUCCGUCGUGAAGAGGGAAACAACCCAGACCGCCAGCUAAGGUCCCAAAGUCAUGGUUAAGUGGGAAACGAUGUGGGAAGGCCCAGACAGCCAGGAUGUUGGCUUAGAAGCAGCCAUCAUUUAAAGAAAGCGUAAUAGCUCACUGGUCGAGUCGGCCUGCGCGGAAGAUGUAACGGGGCUAAACCAUGCACCGAAGCUGCGGCAGCGACGCUUAUGCGUUGUUGGGUAGGGGAGCGUUCUGUAAGCCUGCGAAGGUGUGCUGUGAGGCAUGCUGGAGGUAUCAGAAGUGCGAAUGCUGACAUAAGUAACGAUAAAGCGGGUGAAAAGCCCGCUCGCCGGAAGACCAAGGGUUCCUGUCCAACGUUAAUCGGGGCAGGGUGAGUCGACCCCUAAGGCGAGGCCGAAAGGCGUAGUCGAUGGGAAACAGGUUAAUAUUCCUGUACUUGGUGUUACUGCGAAGGGGGGACGGAGAAGGCUAUGUUGGCCGGGCGACGGUUGUCCCGGUUUAAGCGUGUAGGCUGGUUUUCCAGGCAAAUCCGGAAAAUCAAGGCUGAGGCGUGAUGACGAGGCACUACGGUGCUGAAGCAACAAAUGCCCUGCUUCCAGGAAAAGCCUCUAAGCAUCAGGUAACAUCAAAUCGUACCCCAAACCGACACAGGUGGUCAGGUAGAGAAUACCAAGGCGCUUGAGAGAACUCGGGUGAAGGAACUAGGCAAAAUGGUGCCGUAACUUCGGGAGAAGGCACGCUGAUAUGUAGGUGAAGUCCCUCGCGGAUGGAGCUGAAAUCAGUCGAAGAUACCAGCUGGCUGCAACUGUUUAUUAAAAACACAGCACUGUGCAAACACGAAAGUGGACGUAUACGGUGUGACGCCUGCCCGGUGCCGGAAGGUUAAUUGAUGGGGUUAGCGCAAGCGAAGCUCUUGAUCGAAGCCCCGGUAAACGGCGGCCGUAACUAUAACGGUCCUAAGGUAGCGAAAUUCCUUGUCGGGUAAGUUCCGACCUGCACGAAUGGCGUAAUGAUGGCCAGGCUGUCUCCACCCGAGACUCAGUGAAAUUGAACUCGCUGUGAAGAUGCAGUGUACCCGCGGCAAGACGGAAAGACCCCGUGAACCUUUACUAUAGCUUGACACUGAACAUUGAGCCUUGAUGUGUAGGAUAGGUGGGAGGCUUUGAAGUGUGGACGCCAGUCUGCAUGGAGCCGACCUUGAAAUACCACCCUUUAAUGUUUGAUGUUCUAACGUGGACCCGUAAUCCGGGUUGCGGACAGUGUCUGGUGGGUAGUUUGACUGGGGCGGUCUCCUCCUAAAGAGUAACGGAGGAGCACGAAGGUUGGCUAAUCCUGGUCGGACAUCAGGAGGUUAGUGCAAUGGCAUAAGCCAGCUUGACUGCGAGCGUGACGGCGCGAGCAGGUGCGAAAGCAGGUCAUAGUGAUCCGGUGGUUCUGAAUGGAAGGGCCAUCGCUCAACGGAUAAAAGGUACUCCGGGGAUAACAGGCUGAUACCGCCCAAGAGUUCAUAUCGACGGCGGUGUUUGGCACCUCGAUGUCGGCUCAUCACAUCCUGGGGCUGAAGUAGGUCCCAAGGGUAUGGCUGUUCGCCAUUUAAAGUGGUACGCGAGCUGGGUUUAGAACGUCGUGAGACAGUUCGGUCCCUAUCUGCCGUGGGCGCUGGAGAAUUGAGGGGGGCUGCUCCUAGUACGAGAGGACCGGAGUGGACGCAUCACUGGUGUUCGGGUUGUCAUGCCAAUGGCACUGCCCGGUAGCUAAAUGCGGAAGAGAUAAGUGCUGAAAGCAUCUAAGCACGAAACUUGCCCCGAGAUGAGUUCUCCCUGACUCCUUGAGAGUCCUGAAGGAACGUUGAAGACGACGACGUUGAUAGGCCGGGUGUGUAAGCGCAGCGAUGCGUUGAGCUAACCGGUACUAAUGAACCGUGAGGCUUAACCUUACAACGCCGAAG
This 2925-nucleotide ribosomal RNA is filed under the name Escherichia coli. RNAcentral's name for it is "bacterial LSU rRNA". It matches the Rfam family "Bacterial large subunit ribosomal RNA". The record is from RNAcentral. Lineage: Bacteria; Pseudomonadati; Pseudomonadota; Gammaproteobacteria; Enterobacterales; Enterobacteriaceae.